Molecule: transfer RNA, 65 nt
Filed under: Chrysoperla nipponensis
Lineage: Eukaryota; Metazoa; Arthropoda; Insecta; Neuroptera; Chrysopidae
Description: tRNA-Ile
Source: RNAcentral
AAUGAAGUGCCUGAAAAAAAGGAUUACUUUGAUAGAGUAAAUCAUGUAUGAAAAUACCUUCAUUA